This 159-nucleotide unclassified non-coding RNA is filed under the name uncultured fungus. RNAcentral describes it as "sequence contains ITS1". Lineage: Eukaryota; Fungi. The record is from RNAcentral.
GUUACUUCGACUUUUUUGUAAUCGCCCGUGGCCGUUCGAUUCCCCCUUCGCGUCAAAAAAGGGACAAUUCACAAGUGUUUGUACUGAUAAUUGGCGACUCGAAGCUUGCGCUCCUAGUCUUUUUCGCUACUGAUCCUUCCACAGGUUCACCUACGGAAA